CGAUAUCAAUAAGCGGAGGAAAAGAAACUAACAAGGAUUCCCCUAGUAACGGCGAGUGAAGCGGGAUGAGCUCAAAUUUGAAAUCUGGCUGGUUUGACCAGUCCGAGUUGUAGUUUAAAGAGGCGUUUUCUGUGUUUCUGAUCAGUCCAAGUCCUUUGGGAUAAGGCAUCACGGAGGGUGAGAAUCCCGUUCGGUUGAUCAGAUUCGCUUUACGAUACGCUUUCAAAGAGUCAAGUUGUUUGGGAUUGCAGCUCAAAAUGGGAGGUAAAUUUCUCCUAAGGCUAAAUAUUGGCGAGAGACCGAUAGCGAACAAGUACCGUGAGGGAAAGAUGAAAAGAACUUUGAAAAGAGAGUUAAACAGUACGUGAAAUUGUUGAAAGGGAAACGAUUGAAGUCAGUCGUACUAACGGGAAAUCAACCUAUUUGGGUUGUGAAUUUUGGAUUUUGAAGAGUGUAAACCUUUGGGGUUCAAACAUUUGCGCUCUUUAGGCGUAAUUUCUCGUUCGGUAGGUUAACAUCGAUUUUGAAGAUUAUAAAAUGACCGGAGGAAUGUAGCUUCGAUCUCGUAUUGAAGUGUUAUAGCCUUUGGUAGAUGUAAUGAACAAGAUCGAGGAUUGCAACGAAUACCCUUUUGGGCUAUCCGUCUGAUCUCUGAUACGUUGCCUCGGUAACGAAAGCUUGCUUACGGUAUUGAGGUAUUACGGUCAAAAGGUUAGAACGUGAUUACAUUCGUUAAGGAUGUUGACGUA
RNAcentral lists this ribosomal RNA (749 nucleotides) under uncultured Glomus. RNAcentral describes it as "eukaryotic LSU rRNA". It matches the Rfam family "Eukaryotic large subunit ribosomal RNA", at positions 38 to 633 of the family's 3401-position model. Lineage: Eukaryota; Fungi; Glomeromycota; Glomeromycetes; Glomerales; Glomeraceae. The record is from RNAcentral.